UACGUAGGGACCAAGCGUUGUUCGGAAUUACUGGGCGUAAAGGGCGCGUAGGCGGCCUGCUAAGUCGAACGUGAAAUCCCCGAGCUCAACUCGGGAACUGCGUCCGAUACUGGCAGGCUUGAAUCCGGGAGAGGGAUGCGGAAUUCCAGGUGUAGCGGUGAAAUGCGUAGAUAUCUGGAGGAACACCGGUGGCGAAGGCGGCAGCCUGGACCGGCAUUGACGCUGAGGCGCGAAAGCCAGGGGAGCAAACGGG
Molecule: ribosomal RNA, 253 nt
Filed under: uncultured bacterium
Lineage: Bacteria
Description: partial 16S ribosomal RNA
Rfam family: Bacterial small subunit ribosomal RNA
Source: RNAcentral